GACGAACGCUGGCGGCGUGCUUAACACAUGCAAGUCGAACGGAAAGGCCCUGCUUUUGUGGGGUGCUCGAGUGGCGAACGGGUGAGUAACACGUGAGUAACCUGCCCUUGACUUUGGGAUAACUUCAGGAAACUGGGGCUAAUACCGGAUAGGAUCUCCUGCUGCAUGGUGGGGGUUGGAAAGUUUCGGCGGUUGGGGCUGGACUCGCGGCUUAUCAGCUUGUUGGUGGGGUAGUGGCUUACCAAGGCUUUGACGGGUAGCCGGCAUGAGAGGGUGACCGGCCACAUUGGGACUGAGAUACGGCCCAGACUCCAACGGGAGGCAGCAGUGGGGAGUAUUGCACAAUGGGCGGAAGCCUGAGACAGCAACGCCGCGUGCGGGAUGACGGCCUUCGGGUUGUAAACAGAUUUCGCCUGUGACGAAGCGUGAGUGACGGUAAUGGGUAAAGAAGCACCGGCUAACUACGUG
Molecule: ribosomal RNA, 468 nt
Filed under: uncultured bacterium
Lineage: Bacteria
Description: partial 16S ribosomal RNA
Rfam family: Bacterial small subunit ribosomal RNA
Source: RNAcentral